GACGAACGCUGGCGGCGUGCUUAACACAUGCAAGUCGAACGGAAAGGCCCUGCUUUUGUGGGGUGCUCGAGUGGCGAACGGGUGAGUAACACGUGAGUAACCUGCCCUUGACUUUGGGAUAACUUCAGGAAACUGGGGCUAAUACCGGAUAGGAGCUCCUGCUGCAUGGUGGGGGUUGGAACGUUUCGGCGGUUGGGGAUGGACUCGCGGCUUAUCAGCUUGUUGGUGGGGUAGUGGCUUACCAAGGCUUUGACGGGUAGCCGGCCUGAGAGGGUGACCGGCCACAUUGGGACUGAGAUACGGCCCAGACUCGUACGGGAGGCAGCGGGGGGGAAUAUUGCACAAUGGGCGGAAGCCUGAUGCAGCAACGCCGCGUGCGGGAUGACGGCCUUCGGGUUGUAAACCGCUUUCGCCUGUGACGAAGCGUGAGUGACGGUAAUGGGUAAAGAAGCACCGGCUAACUACGUG
RNAcentral lists this ribosomal RNA (468 nucleotides) under uncultured bacterium. RNAcentral describes it as "partial 16S ribosomal RNA". It matches the Rfam family "Bacterial small subunit ribosomal RNA", at positions 28 to 507 of the family's 1533-position model. The record is from RNAcentral.